UGGGGAAUAUUGCACAAUGGGCGCAAGCCUGAUGCAGCCAUGCCGCGUGUAUGAAGAAGGCCUUCGGGUUGUAAAGUACUUUCAGUCGGGAGGAAGGUGGUAAAGUUAAUAACCUUAUCAAUUGACGUUACCGACAGAAGGAGCACCGGCUAACUCCGUGCCAGCAGCCGCGGUAAUACGGAGGGUGCAAGCGUUAAUCGGAAUUACUGGGCGUAAAGCGCACGCAGGCGGUUGAUUGAGUCAGAUGUGAAAUCCCCGGGCUUAACCCGGGAAUUGCAUCUGAUACUGGUCAGCUAGAGUCUUGUAGAGGGGGGUAGAAUUCCAUGUGUAGCGGUGAAAUGCGUAGAGAUGUGGAGGAAUACCGGUGGCGAAGGCGGCCCCCUGGACAAAGACUGACGCUCAGGUGCGAAAGCGUGGGGAGCAAACAGG
This 429-nucleotide ribosomal RNA is filed under the name Chloroflexota bacterium. RNAcentral describes it as "Chloroflexi bacterium partial 16S ribosomal RNA". It matches the Rfam family "Bacterial small subunit ribosomal RNA", at positions 355 to 776 of the family's 1533-position model. The record is from RNAcentral. Lineage: Bacteria; Bacillati; Chloroflexota.